RNAcentral lists this ribosomal RNA (433 nucleotides) under uncultured bacterium. RNAcentral's name for it is "partial 16S ribosomal RNA". It matches the Rfam family "Bacterial small subunit ribosomal RNA", at positions 29 to 507 of the family's 1533-position model. The record is from RNAcentral.
AACGAACGCUGGCGGCAUGCCUAACACAUGCAAGUCGAACGAGACCUUCGGGUCUAGUGGCGCACGGGUGCGUAACGCGUGGGAACCUGCCCUUAGGUUCGGAAUAACUCCCCGAAAGGGGUGCUAAUACCGGAUAAUGUCUUCGGACCAAAGAUUUAUCGCCUUUGGAUGGGCCCGCGUUGGAUUAGCUAGUUGGUAGGGUAAAAGCCUAUCAAGGCGACGAUCCAUAGCUGGUCUGAGAGGAUGAUCAGCCACACUGAGACUGAGACACGGCCCAGACUCCUACGGGAGGCAGCAGUGGGGAAUAUUGGACAAUGGGCGAAAGCCUGAUCCAGCAAUGCCGCGUGAGUGAUGAAGGCCUUAGGGUUGUAAAGCUCUUUUACCCGGGAUGAUAAUGACAGUACCGGGAGAAUAAGCUCCGGCUAACUCCGUG